This 348-nucleotide ribosomal RNA is filed under the name Celatoblatta marksae. Its description in RNAcentral is "partial 12S ribosomal RNA". The record is from RNAcentral. Lineage: Eukaryota; Metazoa; Arthropoda; Insecta; Blattodea; Blattidae.
UAUUUUAGAUGUAAAUUAUUUUAACCUAAGUAGUAUUAGUUAAUAUCUUGAAACUUAAAGAAUUUGGCGGUAUUUUAGUCUAAUUAGAGGAAUCUGUCUCUUAAUCGAUAAUCCACGUUGAACCUUACCAAAUUUUAUAUAUGUAUACCGCCGUUAUUAUUGAAGAUCUUUUUAGAGUUUAAUAAUUUUCUGGAUUUAUUUUUAAAAUUUAUUUCAGGUCAAGGUGCAGUUUAUGGUUUGGUGAUGAUGGAUUACAUUUAUAUUUAUUAUUUGAAUUAUUUUUUGUAAUUUGAGAUAUGAAAUUGGAUUUAAUUGUAAUUUUUUGUAGAUUAUAAUAUUGAUUUUAGC